UGAACACCGGGAAGGAACUGGCACUUGGAGUCCGGACAUCUGAAACUUGGACUGUGAAUGCAGCCCGUGAAAAAGAGGGUUUUCGGAAGCUUGACAUUUAUGAGGGUGAGGAAUUGACAAGCCGACAUCAGUCUCCAGAGUGAAUCCAAGGAGUGGACCCAAGACAUUUGUGUUCUGUGAUGUGGUGGCAUGUUACCUGUCAUCUCCGAUGCAUAACUCCUAAAGUGCGUCUGGGGCAGUUGUACAGAUUGCAGAGGAUAAUACUCAAGAUGUUCUCCAAGGCCAACUAGUCAUCAGUUUAUUCAUGUUUCUGGGAUUGGAUUCAUGAACUCAUCCUUUGAACUAUUUCAACAAGCUUUUUCAUGUAACUAAUCUGCGGAAGGUAGAAAGGGGAAAACUGUUGGGUGCUAAAAUGACAACUGGUUCAAGACCCAAGUAGGUGUUCACAGUCAGUCCUGCAGGAAGAGAUUAGAGGAUCUAGUUACCCAGGGAUCAUCUCCAUUCCUUCCAACUGAAAGGGAAACAAACAAGGAGGAGCACGCCUGGGGAGGUUUUCACAGGCCAGGACUGGAAAUGCACAUUUCUCUUUUCCUCACAUUCCAAGCUCCCAAGAUGGUGGUGGGCCACUUCCAAGAUGGUGGCAAGAGUCGUAUUCUCUGACCUGGGGUUCUUGGUCUCAUGGAUUCCAAGGAAUGGAAUCUUGCGCCAUGUGGAGAAGCGUCAGAUAAUUAGGCAGCAGUCCAACAAUUAGGUUUUGUGGAACUUUUACUAUGUCAUCUAUUUAUUGGAAUUCCCCCUGGAUACCAGGACCCCCUCCAGCAGAGCUUAAAGUUAUAGUUACAGGAAGUACAAAUUCCUUAUGUGGAUCCCUGGAAGUGUGAUGAGAAGAACCACUGUUUCCAAGAUCUAUUUAUUCUAUUUAUCAGGCCUAUAAAAUCAUGUAAUGGCCAUGGCUUCAACUAGACU
Molecule: long non-coding RNA, 966 nt
Filed under: Homo sapiens (human)
Lineage: Eukaryota; Metazoa; Chordata; Mammalia; Primates; Hominidae
Description: long intergenic non-protein coding RNA 1320
Source: RNAcentral